Molecule: ribosomal RNA, 253 nt
Filed under: uncultured bacterium
Lineage: Bacteria
Description: partial 16S ribosomal RNA
Rfam family: Bacterial small subunit ribosomal RNA
Source: RNAcentral
UACGUAGGGUCCGAGCGUUAAUCGGAAUUACUGGGCGUAAAGCGUGCGCAGGCGGUGAGCUGUGUCCGAUGUGAAAGCCCCGGGCUUAACCUGGGAAUGGCAUUGGAAACUGGCUCGCUGGAGUGUGGCAGAGGGGGGUGGAAUUCCGCGUGUAGCAGUGAAAUGCGUAGAUAUGGGGAGGAACACCGGUGGCGAAGGCGGCCACCUGGACGGUAACUGACGCUGAGACGCGAAAGCGUGGGGAGCAAACAGG